This is a long non-coding RNA of Anthonomus grandis grandis, 926 nucleotides long. RefSeq lists it as uncharacterized. The record is from RefSeq and is a predicted model, not a curated record. Lineage: Eukaryota; Metazoa; Arthropoda; Insecta; Coleoptera; Curculionidae. The transcript has 3 exons.
UGUCAAAAACGGUUACACUUAGGUAGAGGACAUUAUACAUAAAAUAUACCUAGAAUUUUAUUUGGAAGCCAAAAAUGUAAAAAUAUACAGGGUGUUCCAUUUAAAAUAACGAAGCUGACAUCUACUUCCGGUAUAAUCGGAAACGUCACAACUGUCAAAAUAUUUUAGUUGUGUGGCCCCCAUCAACUAUGCCAUGUUGAAUAAAUUCUCAAAAUUUUUGAAUAAUUAGUUUCCGAAAUAUUGAUCACGCCUAUUCGUCGUGAGACACCCUGUAUAAUGGGUAGAUUUUCACAUAUAAUUUUAUUUCAGAUUUCCUUCAGAUCCAGAAAGAAAAAAGUUGUGGAUUCAAGCUAUGAAAUUUAAAGAUUGGGAGCCAUCACCAAAUGAUAGAGUUUGUUCUAGACAUUUUGAGGAACAUUUUUUUUAUUCAACAGAUUGCAGAAGGCGUUUUCUCAAUGGAGCAGUCCUUUCUAUAUUUCCUGAAUAUCCUAAAUAUAUGCAGUCAAAACAGAGUGUCAAAAGAAAAGCGUUACAGCGAGAUUUGGAUUCUGAACCAGGUGCUUCAACUUCGACUGCUAGCCAAAAAAUGAAGCCGGAAUCACCCAGAAGAAAACGUUUAAAGAGGCAACUUUUGGCAAAAAGAAAAAAAAUGACGGCAAAAAGAAAAAAAUAAAGAGCAAACAAGAAGACUUAAAGUUCUCCGGCAAAAGAACUGAAAAAUCGCUAGUUUUGGUAAUAACUAGAUACUAGUUUUACGAGAAGUGAAAGUGAAAGAUAUGGAAUGAAUAGAGUUCUGAGGGAGACACAUGCCCGAGUACCCCUCCCCCUGGAAACGUCCCUGUGUAAAUGAAUAUUUUUACAUUUUUUUAAUGGUAUUGUAUGUUCCAUACAUAUUUCAUAUAGAUAUUACAGGUACAUGCAGUAUG